This 73-nucleotide transfer RNA is filed under the name Myotis brandtii (Brandt's bat). It matches the Rfam family "tRNA". Rfam says of the family: Transfer RNA (tRNA) molecules are approximately 80 nucleotides in length. Their secondary structure includes four short double-helical elements and three loops (D, anti-codon, and T loops). Further hydrogen bonds mediate the characteristic L-shaped molecular structure. tRNAs have two regions of fundamental functional importance: the anti-codon, which is responsible for specific mRNA codon recognition, and the 3' end, to which the tRNAs corresponding amino acid is attached (by aminoacyl-tRNA synthetases). tRNAs cope with the degeneracy of the genetic code in two manners: having more than one tRNA (with a specific anti-codon) for a particular amino acid; and 'wobble' base-pairing, i.e. permitting non-standard base-pairing at the 3rd anti-codon position. Lineage: Eukaryota; Metazoa; Chordata; Mammalia; Chiroptera; Vespertilionidae. The record is from Rfam by way of RNAcentral.
GCUGGUGUGGCUCAGUGGAUAGAGCGUUGGCCUGAAGACCAAAGGGUCCCAGGUUCGAUUCCGGUCAAGGGCA